UACGGGGGGAGCAAGCGUUGUUCGGAUUUACUGGGCGUAAAGGGCGCGUAGGCGGCCAGCACAAGUCAGUUGUGAAAUCUCCGAGCUUAACUCGGAACGGUCAACUGAUACUGUGCGGCUAGAGUGCAGAAGGGGCAACUGGAAUUCUUGGUGUAGCGGUGAAAUGCGUAGAUAUCAAGAGGAACACCUGCGGCGAAGGCGGCAUCCUGGACUGGUCCUGACACUCAGGAGCGAAAGUGUGGGGAGCGAACAGG
This 254-nucleotide ribosomal RNA is filed under the name uncultured bacterium. RNAcentral's name for it is "partial 16S ribosomal RNA". It matches the Rfam family "Bacterial small subunit ribosomal RNA", at positions 524 to 776 of the family's 1533-position model. The record is from RNAcentral.